GAUGAAGAACGUAGCGAAAUGCGAUAAGUAAUGUGAAUUGCAGAAUUCAGUGAAUCAUCGAAUCUUUGAACGCACCUUGCGCCCUUUGGACAUUCCGAAGGGCAUGCCUGUUUGAGUAUCAUGAACACCUCAACUCUCACGGCUUGUCCGUGAUGAGCUUGGACUUUGGGGGUCUUGCCGGCCUGUGGUCGGCUCCUCUCAAAUGGAUCAGCUUGCCAGUGUUUGGUGGCAUCACAGGUGUGAUAACUAUCUGCGCUUGUGGUUUUCCAUCAGAUAACCUUCAGUGAUAUGGAGGUUCGCUGGAGCUCACAAAUGUCUCUCCUUAGUGAGGACAGCUCUUUGAGCGUUUGAUCUCAAAUCAGGUAGGACUACCCGCUGAACUUAAGCAUAUCAAUAAGCGGAGGA
This 405-nucleotide unclassified non-coding RNA is filed under the name soil metagenome. Its description in RNAcentral is "partial contains 5.8S ribosomal RNA, internal transcribed spacer 2, and large subunit ribosomal RNA". The stretch from base 1 to 121 matches the Rfam family "5.8S ribosomal RNA", at positions 35 to 154 of the family's 154-position model. The record is from RNAcentral.